GGGUGAUACGAAUCGGUAUUUGGAUCUACAUGUGAAUGUGUGUGUAGGCGGUCCCAUGAUGUUCGUAUCGAAUUUUGGGUUUCCUGAACCGCCACAGAGUCUGGGUGGAUCUCCUCGGACAAGAUCUUGGCUAUUGGGGGCAAUUUGGAGUGGUGAAGAACAAGAAUGGGCGGAUAUAUGGCGGCAGCAGUCGAAUGGGACACUUCCAUAUUGUCAUUCGUUUUACCCGGGCGGGUUUUUGCAGUCCAGCUCCACAUCGCAUGCUUCACCUUUCUUUACCCGAUGUAAAAGAUUUAGUCUUAUAAUGCUUGCCGUGGGACUUUUUUACGGACUUCCACCUAAAUCAUCAUUUUUCGUUUGUCUCACAAGAAAACUUAAUCCGAGACUCUGCGCGUGUGUGGCGGGCAGUGAGAGGGGAUGUGGCUUAAUUUGGUUGAUAGG
RNAcentral lists this ribosomal RNA (441 nucleotides) under Clarias batrachus (walking catfish). RNAcentral describes it as "partial 12S ribosomal RNA". The record is from RNAcentral. Lineage: Eukaryota; Metazoa; Chordata; Actinopteri; Siluriformes; Clariidae.